UACGUAGGGGGCAAGCGUUGUCCGGAUUUAUUGGGCGUAAAGCGCGCGCAGGCGGCUUAGAGAGCCCGGCGUGAAAGCCCCCAGCUUAACUGGGGGAGGUCGUCGGGGACCUGCAGGCUGGAGGCCGGUAGGGGCGAGUGGAAUUCCCGGUGUAGUGGUGGAAUGCGUAGAGAUCGGGAGGAACACCAGUGGCGAAGGCGGCUCGCUGGACCGGUCCUGACGCUCAGGCGCGAAAGCGUGGGGAGCGAUCCGG
This 253-nucleotide ribosomal RNA is filed under the name uncultured bacterium. RNAcentral describes it as "partial 16S ribosomal RNA". It matches the Rfam family "Bacterial small subunit ribosomal RNA", at positions 524 to 776 of the family's 1533-position model. The record is from RNAcentral.